UGAUUUACUUGGCAAGGGAGAUGCCACGAUGACGAAGGUGGUUUCCCCGGGCAAGGCUGGUGCACUGCACUGGGGACCCACUAAGCUCUGCAAUUUUCCCACAUGGGGGAAACCCAACUGCAUAAUUUGUGUUGGUGGGGGAUUGUGCGCACGCUUCCCCCUA
RNAcentral lists this small nuclear RNA (163 nucleotides) under Dasypus novemcinctus (nine-banded armadillo). Its description in RNAcentral is "U1 spliceosomal RNA (ENSDNOG00000036676.1)". It matches the Rfam family "U1 spliceosomal RNA". Rfam says of the family: U1 is a small nuclear RNA (snRNA) component of the spliceosome (involved in pre-mRNA splicing). Its 5' end forms complementary base pairs with the 5' splice junction, thus defining the 5' donor site of an intron. The record is from RNAcentral. Lineage: Eukaryota; Metazoa; Chordata; Mammalia; Cingulata; Dasypodidae.